This 460-nucleotide ribosomal RNA is filed under the name uncultured bacterium. Its description in RNAcentral is "partial 16S ribosomal RNA". It matches the Rfam family "Bacterial small subunit ribosomal RNA", at positions 338 to 795 of the family's 1533-position model. The record is from RNAcentral.
CCUACGGGAGGCAGCAGUGAGGAAUAUUGGUCAAUGGGCGAGAGCCUGAACCAGCCAAGUCGCGUGAAGGAUGACGGCCCUACGGGUUGUAAACUUCUUUUGUCAGGGAGCAAUUGGGUCCACGCGUGGGCUUAGCGAGAGUACCUGAAGAAAAAGCAUCGGCUAACUCCGUGCCAGCAGCCGCGGUAAUACGGAGGAUGCGAGCGUUAUCCGGAUUUAUUGGGUUUAAAGGGUGCGUAGGCGGAAUACUCAGUCAGCGGUAAAGAUUCGGGGCUCAACCCCGUCGUGCCGUUGAAACUGGUGUUCUUGAGUGGGCGAGAAGUAUGCGGAAUGCGUGGUGUAGCGGUGAAAUGCAUAGAUAUCACGCAGAACUCCGAUUGCGAAGGCAGCAUACCGGCGCCCAACUGACGCUGAAGCACGAAAGCGUGGGUAUCGAACAGGAUUAGAUACCCUUGUAGUC